Molecule: microRNA, 22 nt
Filed under: Shrimp white spot syndrome virus
Lineage: Naldaviricetes; Nimaviridae
Description: wssv-mir49
Source: RNAcentral
AAGCGAAUGGCCCACACUCCCA